UACGGAGGGGGCUAGCGUUGUUCGGAAUUACUGGGCGUAAAGCGCACGUAGGCGGCUUUGUAAGUUAGAGGUGAAAGCCCAGGGCUUAACCCUGGAAUUGCCUUUAAGACUGCAUCGCUAGAAUCGUGGAGAGGUGAGUGGAAUUCCGAGUGUAGAGGUGAAAUUCGUAGAUAUUCGGUAGAACACCAGUGGCGAAGGCGACUCACUGGACACGUAUUGACGCUGAGGUGCGAAAGCGUGGGGAGCAAACAGG
RNAcentral lists this ribosomal RNA (253 nucleotides) under uncultured bacterium. Its description in RNAcentral is "partial 16S ribosomal RNA". It matches the Rfam family "Bacterial small subunit ribosomal RNA", at positions 524 to 776 of the family's 1533-position model. The record is from RNAcentral.